GAGGGUGUAACUCAGUGGUAGAGUACAUGCUUAUUUAGCAUGCACAAGGUCCUGGGUUCAAUCCCCAGUACUUCCA
RNAcentral lists this transfer RNA (76 nucleotides) under Camelus bactrianus (Bactrian camel). It matches the Rfam family "tRNA". From Rfam's summary of the family: Transfer RNA (tRNA) molecules are approximately 80 nucleotides in length. Their secondary structure includes four short double-helical elements and three loops (D, anti-codon, and T loops). The record is from Rfam by way of RNAcentral. Lineage: Eukaryota; Metazoa; Chordata; Mammalia; Artiodactyla; Camelidae. RNAcentral also lists the same sequence under 2 other names.